GCUUGGGCGUGCCUCCACCCACGCCGGCGUCGGCGGGCGUAUUUCGCCUCACAGUAGGUCGCCGCGACCCGUUGCUUUGGGGGACGUCGAAGGCCCGGACGGAUUGGUACCCUACCGGCUGGGGAUGCGGCUUCGGCUUCUCCUCUUGUCCGGUGGGCGAAACCGCCGGUGUCCUGGCUGCCCUGCGACGGUCGUAGAGACGAGCCCUCCCCUUCGGGGGGGCGGCUCUCGCGGCGUGCAAAAGGUCGGUGAUCCACCCGACCCGUCUUGAAACACGGACCAAGGAGUCUAACAUGUGUGCGAGUCAGUGGGCGCACUAAACCCAGAGGCGUAAUGAAAGUGACACGGGUUCGGCUGUCGCCUCGUGUGGCAGCCGGACUCAGGGCCGAUCCCUCACCGGUUGCCCUCGCCUCUGUCCCGCGUCUCGGUAAGCCGGGUGAGCUAUUUUCCCCGGCCGCUGCUGCGGGGCGCGGGGGGAGGCGGGGUGCGAUGGUGUCCGUAAAAAAGAGCCUGCUGUUGCAGGGGGGCGCAGGCCCGGGACUUGCCAGGACGCCGCGAGACUGUCACUUUGCUGUGAGGCUCUCGGGCCGAUCAGCGGGUCAUGCGUGCAGUCGGCAAGUACCAUGAGCAGACAUGUUGGGACCCGAAAGAUGGUGAACUAUGCCUGGCCAGGAUGAAGCCAGAGGAAACUCUGGUGGAGGUCCGUAGCGAUUCUGACGUGCAAAUCG
Molecule: ribosomal RNA, 728 nt
Filed under: Creaserinus clausus
Lineage: Eukaryota; Metazoa; Arthropoda; Malacostraca; Decapoda; Cambaridae
Description: partial 28S large subunit ribosomal RNA
Rfam family: Eukaryotic large subunit ribosomal RNA (bases 279-728)
Source: RNAcentral